RNAcentral lists this ribosomal RNA (253 nucleotides) under uncultured bacterium. Its description in RNAcentral is "partial 16S ribosomal RNA". It matches the Rfam family "Bacterial small subunit ribosomal RNA", at positions 524 to 776 of the family's 1533-position model. The record is from RNAcentral.
UACGUAGGGUGCGAGCGUUGUCCGGAAUUACUGGGCGUAAAGAGCUCGUAGGUGGUUUGUCGCGUUGUUCGUGAAAACCGGGGGCUUAACCCUCGGCGUGCGGGCGAUACGGGCAGACUUGAGUACUGCAGGGGAGACUGGAAUUCCUGGUGUAGCGGUGGAAUGCGCAGAUAUCAGGAGGAACACCGGUGGCGAAGGCGGCGUUCUGGACUGCAACUGACACUGAUGAACGAAAGCCAGGGGAGCAAACGGG